AUUGAACGCUGGCGGCAGGCCUAACACAUGCAAGUCGAGCGGAUGAAGGGAGCUUGCUCCUGGAUUCAGCGGCGGACGGGUGAGUAAUGCCUAGGAAUCUGCCUGGUAGUGGGGGAUAAUGUCCGGAAACGGGCGCUAAUACCGCAUACGUCCUGAGGGAGAAAGUGGGGGAUCUUCGGACCUCACGCUAUCAGAUGAGCCUAGGUCGGAUUAGCUAGUUGGUGGGGUAAAGGCCUACCAAGGCGACGAUCCGUAACUGGUCUGAGAGGAUGAUCAGUCACACUGGAACUGAGACACGGUCCAGACUCCUACGGGAGGCAGCAGUGGGGAAUAUUGGACAAUGGGCGAAAGCCUGAUCCAGCCAUGCCGCGUGUGUGAAGAAGGUCUUCGGAUUGUAAAGCACUUUAAGUUGGGAGGAAGGGCAGUAAGUUAAUACCUUGCUGUUUUGACGUUUCCAACAGAAUAAGCACCGGCUAACUUCGUG
RNAcentral lists this ribosomal RNA (484 nucleotides) under uncultured bacterium. Its description in RNAcentral is "partial 16S ribosomal RNA". It matches the Rfam family "Bacterial small subunit ribosomal RNA", at positions 30 to 507 of the family's 1533-position model. The record is from RNAcentral.